GAUCAUAAAAACGGACCGAAAGAACUUAGAACUAAUACGCAAAGUCGGGGAUCAUAAAAACGGACCAAAAGAACAUAGAGCUAAUACGCAAAGUCGGGGAUCAUAAAAACGGACCGAAAGAACUUAGAGCUAAUACGCAAAGUCGGGGUUCAUAAAAACGGACCGAAAGAACUUAGAGCUAAUACGUAAAGUCGUAGAUCAUUAAAACGGACUGAAAGAACUCAGAGCUAAUACGCAAAGUUGAGGAUCAUAAAAACGGACCGAAAGAACUUAGAGUUAACACGCAAAGUUGGGGAUCAUAAAAACGGACAGAAAUAACUUAGAGCUAAUACGCAAAGUCGGGGAUCAUAAAAACGGAGCGAAAGAACUUAGAGUUAAUACGCAAAGUCGGGGAUCAUAAAAACGGACCGAAAGAACUUAGAGCUAAUACGCAAAGUCGGGGAUCAGAAAAACGGACCAAAAGAACUUAGAGCUAAUACGCAAAUUUGGGGAUAAUAAAAACGGACCAAAAAAACUUAGCGCUAAUACGCAAACUUGA
RNAcentral lists this long non-coding RNA (538 nucleotides) under Capsella rubella. RNAcentral's name for it is "long non-coding RNA (CRUB_LNC000357)". The record is from RNAcentral. Lineage: Eukaryota; Viridiplantae; Streptophyta; Magnoliopsida; Brassicales; Brassicaceae.